Ribosomal RNA from Panthera pardus (leopard), 113 nucleotides. NCBI's taxonomy places the organism in Eukaryota, Metazoa, Chordata, Mammalia, Carnivora, Felidae. The record is from Ensembl.
GACAUUUGGUAGAGACUGUUGAAGCCACCUGGUCCCAGCAGACCCCAGAAGGUGGCUACAUUCGCCGGUGCUGGGGCUAGGUCGUUAAGGGUGAAGCCUGGUGCCAGAUGUGU